CUGAGCUCUUGGGAGCUCAUCUUCACCUCCUCUUUCUCAAGAACUCAGCCACAUUUUGGGACCCAGGUGUCUCUGCCUGCCAGCCACAAGGAGGCAGAGGAAGAUGCACAGGGAAAACCAUCUCUGGUGCUGGCUGCUUCUGCAGCUCCUGCUUCUAGAAAAGAAGAUAUCUGUCUCUGAGAAAUGCUGUUGAUGGAAUAUUCUACAACCCCCACAACUCUCACCUUGGUCCUGGAGGAUCCCAUAUGACUCCGGGGAGCCCUACUUCUUCCUGGAGGAGACCAGUAGUAACCUCCGAGGUCAUAGCAAUGAAUGGGCUAUGACUAUUGCCGACGAAGCCCAGGAACUCGUCCUUCUGAGGAGACCCGAGCCACUGCUUCUUCUGCAUAACCCUUUCGGAGUCCCUUUCUA
RNAcentral lists this long non-coding RNA (411 nucleotides) under Rattus norvegicus (Norway rat). Its description in RNAcentral is "long non-coding RNA NONRATT017062". Lineage: Eukaryota; Metazoa; Chordata; Mammalia; Rodentia; Muridae. The record is from RNAcentral.